AUUGAACGCUGGCGGCAGGCCUAACACAUGCAAGUCGGACGGUAACGGGAAGCAGCUUGCUUACUUGCCGACGAGUGGCGGACGGGUGAGUAAUGUCUGGGAAACUGCCCGAUGGAGGGGGACAACAACUGGAAACGGUGGCCAAUACCGCAUAAUGUCUUCGGACCAAAGUGGGGGACCUCCGGGCCUCACACCAUCGGAUGUGCCCAGACGGGGUUAGCUGGUAGGUGAGAUAAAGGCUCACCUAGGCGACGAUCCCUAGCUGGUCUGAGAGGAUAACCAGCCACACUGGGACUGAGACACGGUCCAGACUCCUACGGGAGGCAGCAGUGGGGAAUAUUGCACAAUGGGCGCAAGCCUGAUGCAGCCAUGCCGCGUGUAUGAAGAAGGCCUUCGGGUUGUAAAGUGCUUUCGGCGGGGAGGAAGGGAUGAUGUUUAAUACGCCUCGUCAUUGACGUUACCCGAAGAAGAAGCACCGGCUAACUCCGUG
This 490-nucleotide ribosomal RNA is filed under the name uncultured bacterium. Its description in RNAcentral is "partial 16S ribosomal RNA". It matches the Rfam family "Bacterial small subunit ribosomal RNA", at positions 30 to 507 of the family's 1533-position model. The record is from RNAcentral.